UCUGGUACCUUCGGUGCCCGAGUUGUAAUUUGGAGAGGGCAACUUUGGGGCCGUUCCUUGUCUAUGUUCCUUGGAACAGGACGUCAUAGAGGGUGAGAAUCCCGUGUGGCGAGGAGUGCGGUUCUUUGUAAAGUGCCUUCGAAGAGUCGAGUUGUUUGGGAAUGCAGCUCUAAGUGGGUGGUAAAUUCCAUCUAAAGCUAAAUAUUGGCGAGAGACCGAUAGCGAACAAGUACAGUGAUGGAAAGAUGAAAAGAACUUUGAAAAGAGAGUGAAAAAGUACGUGAAAUUGUUGAAAGGGAAGGGCAUUUGAUCAGACAUGGUGUUUUGUGCCCUCUGCUCCUUGUGGGUAGGGGAAUCUCGCAUUUCACUGGGCCAGCAUCAGUUUUGGUGGCAGGAUAAAUCCAUAGGAAUGUAGCUUGCCUCGGUAAGUAUUAUAGCCUGUGGGAAUACUGCCAGCUGGGACUGAGGACUGCGACGUAAGUCAAGGAUGCUGGCAUAAUGGUUAUAUGCCGCCCGCUG
RNAcentral lists this ribosomal RNA (519 nucleotides) under Saccharomyces sp. RNAcentral's name for it is "partial large subunit ribosomal RNA". It matches the Rfam family "Eukaryotic large subunit ribosomal RNA", at positions 121 to 654 of the family's 3401-position model. Lineage: Eukaryota; Fungi; Ascomycota; Saccharomycetes; Saccharomycetales; Saccharomycetaceae. The record is from RNAcentral.